AGCAACAUGGCGCAGCUGGAAGCGCGCGGGGCUCAUAACCCCGAGGUCACUCGAUCGAAACAAGUUGUUGCUA
Molecule: transfer RNA, 73 nt
Filed under: Sparassis crispa
Lineage: Eukaryota; Fungi; Basidiomycota; Agaricomycetes; Polyporales; Sparassidaceae
Rfam family: tRNA
About the family: Transfer RNA (tRNA) molecules are approximately 80 nucleotides in length.
Source: Rfam by way of RNAcentral